CUGAGACACGGCCCAGACUCCUACGGGAGGCAGCAGUGGGGAAUAUUGCACAAUGGAGGAAACUCUGAUGCAGCGAUGCCGCGUGAGGGAAGAAGGUUUUAGGAUUGUAAACCUCUGUCUUCAGGGACGAAAAAAGACGGUACCUGAGGAGGAAGCUCCGGCUAACUACGUGCCAGCAGCCGCGGUAAUACGUAGGGAGCGAGCGUUGUCCGGAAUUACUGGGUGUAAAGGGAGCGUAGGCGGGAUCGCAAGUCAGAUGUGAAAACUAUGGGCUUAACCCAUAAACUGCAUUUGAAACUGUGGUUCUUGAGUGAAGUAGAGGUAAGCGGAAUUCCUAGUGUAGCGGUGAAAUGCGUGGAUAUUAGGAGGAACAUCAGUGGCGAAGGCGGCUUACUGGGCUUUAACUGACGCUGAGGCUCGAAAGCGUGGGGAGCAAACAGGAUUAGAUGCCCUGGUAGUCCACGCCGUAAACGAUGAUUACUAGGUGGGGGGGGACUGACCCCUUCCGUGCCGCAGCAAACGCAAUAAGUAAUCCACCCGGGGAGUACGAACGGAC
Molecule: ribosomal RNA, 556 nt
Filed under: uncultured bacterium
Lineage: Bacteria
Description: bacterial SSU rRNA
Rfam family: Bacterial small subunit ribosomal RNA
Source: RNAcentral